This 397-nucleotide ribosomal RNA is filed under the name uncultured bacterium. RNAcentral describes it as "partial 16S ribosomal RNA". It matches the Rfam family "Bacterial small subunit ribosomal RNA", at positions 523 to 918 of the family's 1533-position model. The record is from RNAcentral.
AUACGUAGGGGGCAAGCGUUAUCCGGAUUUACUGGGUGUAAAGGGAGCGUAGACGGUAGGGUAAGUCAGAUGUGAAAGCCCGGGGCUCAACCCCGGGAUUGCAUUUGAAACUAUCCGACUAGAGUGCAGGAGAGGUAAGUGGAAUUCAUAGUGUAGCGGUGAAAUGCGUAGAUAUUAGGAGGAACACCAGUGGCGAAGGCGGCUUACUGGACUGUAACUGACGUUGAGGCUCGAAUGCGUGGGGAGCAAACGGAAUUAUAUACCCUGGGAGUCCACUCCGUAAACGAUGAAUACUAGGUGUUGGGGAGCAUAAGCUCUUCGGUGCCGUCGCAAACGCAUUAAGUAUUCCACCUGGGGAGUACGUUCGCAAGAAUGAAACUCAAAUGAAUUGACGGGU